RNAcentral lists this ribosomal RNA (253 nucleotides) under uncultured bacterium. Its description in RNAcentral is "partial 16S ribosomal RNA". It matches the Rfam family "Bacterial small subunit ribosomal RNA", at positions 524 to 776 of the family's 1533-position model. The record is from RNAcentral.
UACGGGGGGGGCAAGCGUUGUUCGGAAUUACUGGGCGUAAAGGGCUCGUAGGUGGCCAACUAAGUCAGACGUGAAAUCCCUCGGCUUAACCGGGGAACUGCGUCUGAUACUGGAUGGCUUGAGUGUGGGAGAGGGAUGCGGAAUUCCAGGUGUAGCGGUGAAAUGCGUAGAUAUCUGGAGGAACACCGGUGGCGAAGGCGGCAUCCUGGACCACGACUGACGCUGAGACACGAAAGCGUGGGUAGCAAACAGG